This 412-nucleotide ribosomal RNA is filed under the name uncultured bacterium. Its description in RNAcentral is "bacterial SSU rRNA". It matches the Rfam family "Bacterial small subunit ribosomal RNA", at positions 433 to 842 of the family's 1533-position model. The record is from RNAcentral.
CUUUUGCCGGGGAGCAAGCGUGCGUUCGUGAACGCGCGUCGAGAGUACCCGGAGAAAAAGCAUCGGCUAUCUCCGUGCCAGCAGCCGCGGUAAUACGGAGGAUGCGAGCGUUAUCCGGAUUUAUUGGGUUUAAAGGGUGCGUAGGCGGGAUGCCAAGUCAGCGGUAAAAAUGCGGUGCUCAACGCCGUCGAGCCGUUGAAACUGGCGUUCUUGAGUGGGCGAGAAGUAUGCGGAAUGCGUGGUGUAGCGGUGAAAUGCAUAGAUAUCACGCAGAACUCCGAUUGCGAAGGCAGCAUACCGGCGCCCUACUGACGCUGAGGCACGAAAGCGUGGGUAUCGAACAGGAUUAGAUACCCUGGUAGUCCACGCAGUAAACGAUGAAUGCUAACUGUCCGGCUCGAAUGAGCGCUGG